This 71-nucleotide transfer RNA is filed under the name Pseudarcicella sp. Its description in RNAcentral is "tRNA-Trp". It matches the Rfam family "tRNA". From Rfam's summary of the family: Transfer RNA (tRNA) molecules are approximately 80 nucleotides in length. Their secondary structure includes four short double-helical elements and three loops (D, anti-codon, and T loops). Further hydrogen bonds mediate the characteristic L-shaped molecular structure. tRNAs have two regions of fundamental functional importance: the anti-codon, which is responsible for specific mRNA codon recognition, and the 3' end, to which the tRNAs corresponding amino acid is attached (by aminoacyl-tRNA synthetases). tRNAs cope with the degeneracy of the genetic code in two manners: having more than one tRNA (with a specific anti-codon) for a particular amino acid; and 'wobble' base-pairing, i.e. permitting non-standard base-pairing at the 3rd anti-codon position. Lineage: Bacteria; Pseudomonadati; Bacteroidota; Cytophagia; Cytophagales; Flectobacillaceae. The record is from RNAcentral.
ACGGGCGUAGUAUAAGGGUAGUACAAAGGUCUCCAACACCUUUAGUCUGAGUUCGAAUCUUAGCGCCCGUG